Molecule: ribosomal RNA, 484 nt
Filed under: uncultured bacterium
Lineage: Bacteria
Description: partial 16S ribosomal RNA
Rfam family: Bacterial small subunit ribosomal RNA
Source: RNAcentral
AUUGAACGCUGGCGGCAGGCCUAACACAUGCAAGUCGAGCGGAUGAAGGGAGCUUGCUCCUGGAUUCAGCGGCGGACGGGUGAGUAAUGCCUAGGAAUCUGCCUGGUAGUGGGGGAUAACGUCCGGAAACGGGCGCUAAUACCGCAUACGUCCUGAGGGAGAAAGUGGGGGAUCUUCGGACCUCACGCUAUCAGAUGAGCCUAGGUCGGAUUAGCUAGUUGGUGGGGUAAAGGCCUACCAAGGCGACGAUCCGUAACUGGUCUGAGAGGGUGAUCAGUCACACUGGAACUGAGACACGGUCCAGACUCCUACGGGAGGCAGCAGUGGGGAAUAUUGGACAAUGGGCGAAAGCCUGAUCCAGCCAUGCCGCGUGUGUGAAGAAGGUCUUCGGAUUGUAAAGCACUUUAAGUUGGGAGGAAGAGCAGUAAGUUAAUACCUGGCUGUUUUGACGUUACCAACAGAAUAAGCACCGGCUAACUUCGUG